This 430-nucleotide ribosomal RNA is filed under the name uncultured bacterium. RNAcentral describes it as "bacterial SSU rRNA". It matches the Rfam family "Bacterial small subunit ribosomal RNA", at positions 355 to 776 of the family's 1533-position model. The record is from RNAcentral.
UGGGGAAUUUUGCGCAAUGGGCGAAAGCCUGACGCAGCAACGCCGCGUGAGUGAUGAAGGCUUUCGGGUCGUAAAGCUCUGUCAAGGGGAAAGAAAUGUAUUGUGGUUAAUACCCAUAAUACUUGACGGUACCCCUAAAGGAAGCACCGGCUAACUCCGUGCCAGCAGCCGCGGUAAUACGGAGGGUGCAAGCGUUGUUCGGAAUUAUUGGGCGUAAAGCGCAUGUAGGCGGUUUGUUAAGUCUGAUGUGAAAGCCCUGGGCUCAACCCAGGAAGUGCAUUGGAAACUGGCAUACUUGAAUACGGGAGAGGGUAGUAGAAUUCCUGGUGUAGGAGUGAAAUCCGUAGAUAUCAGGAGGAAUACCGGUGGCGAAGGCGGCUACCUGGACCGAUAUUGACGCUGAGAUGCGAAAGCGUGGGUAGCAAACAGG